RNAcentral lists this ribosomal RNA (773 nucleotides) under uncultured Lactobacillus sp. RNAcentral's name for it is "bacterial SSU rRNA". It matches the Rfam family "Bacterial small subunit ribosomal RNA", at positions 727 to 1502 of the family's 1533-position model. Lineage: Bacteria; Bacillati; Bacillota; Bacilli; Lactobacillales; Lactobacillaceae. The record is from RNAcentral.
GUCUGGUCUGUAACUGACGCUGAGGCUCGAAAGUAUGGGUAGCAAACAGGAUUAGAUACCUGGUAGUCCAUACCGUAAACGAUGAAUGCUAAGUGUUGGAGGGUUUCCCCUUUCAGUGCUGCAGCUAACGCAUUAAGCAUUCCGCCUGGGGAGUACGGCCGCAAGGCUGAAACUCAAAGGAAUUGACGGGGGCCCGCACAAGCGGUGGAGCAUGUGGUUUAAUUCGAAGCUACGCGAAGAACCUUACCAGGUCUUGACAUACUAUGCAAAUCUAAGAGAUUAGACGUUCCCUUCGGGGACAUGGAUACAGGUGGUGCAUGGUUGUCGUCAGCUCGUGUCGUGAGAUGUUGGGUUAAGUCCCGCAACGAGCGCAACCCUUAUUAUCAGUUGCCAGCAUUAAGUUGGGCACUCUGGUGAGACUGCCGGUGACAAACCGGAGGAAGGUGGGGAUGACGUCAAAUCAUCAUGCCCCUUAUGACCUGGGCUACACACGUGCUACAAUGGAUGGUACAACGAGUUGCGAACUCGCGAGAGUAAGCUAAUCUCUUAAAGCCAUUCUCAGUUCGGAUUGUAGGCUGCAACUCGCCUACAUGAAGUCGGAAUCGCUAGUAAUCGCGGAUCAGCAUGCCGCGGUGAAUACGUUCCCGGGCCUUGUACACACCGCUCGUCACACCAUGAGAGUUUGUAACACCCAAAGUCGGUGGGGUAACCUUUAGGAACCAGCCGCCUAAGGUGGGACAGAUGAUUAGGGUGAAGUCGUAACAAGGUAACCA